RNAcentral lists this non-coding RNA (203 nucleotides) under Sphingobacteriales bacterium. The record is from RNAcentral. Lineage: Bacteria; Pseudomonadati; Bacteroidota; Sphingobacteriia; Sphingobacteriales.
UACAUUUGCCUCGAAUUUGGUUGAUCCGCUAACAACGGAUCAUUAAAAGGGAAGUCCGGUGUAAGUCCGGCGCUAUCCCCGUAGCUGUAAAUGCCAAUCAAAAGUCUCCGGCAAACUUCUAACCACUGUCCGACAAUCGUCGGAUGGGAAGGUCGCCCGGAGAAGGCAUAAGCCAGAAGACCUGCCAGAUCAUUUCACAAUUC